This 416-nucleotide ribosomal RNA is filed under the name uncultured beta proteobacterium. RNAcentral describes it as "bacterial SSU rRNA". It matches the Rfam family "Bacterial small subunit ribosomal RNA", at positions 9 to 429 of the family's 1533-position model. The record is from RNAcentral. Lineage: Bacteria; Pseudomonadati; Pseudomonadota; Betaproteobacteria.
GAGUUUGAUCAUGGCUCAGAUUGAACGCUGGCGGCAUGCCUUACACAUGCAAGUCGAGCGGCAGCGCGGGGGCAACCCUGGCGGCGAGCGGCGAACGGGUGAGUAAUGCAUCGGAACGUGUCCUCUUGUGGGGGAUAACCAGUCGAAAGACUGGCUAAUACCGCAUGAGAUCGAGAGAUGAAAGCAGGGGACCGCAAGGCCUUGCGCGAGAGGAGCGGCCGAUGCCGGAUUAGCUAGUUGGUGGGGUAAAAGCCUACCAAGGCGACGAUCCGUAGCUGGUCUGAGAGGACGACCAGCCACACUGGGACUGGGACACGGCCCAGACUCCUACGGGAGGCAGCAGUGGGGAAUUUUGGACAAUGGGGGCAACCCUGAUCCAGCCAUGCCGCGUGUGUGAAGAAGGCCUCGGUUGUAAG